Nicotiana tabacum (common tobacco) is the source of this 272-nucleotide non-coding RNA. The record is from RefSeq and is a predicted model, not a curated record. Lineage: Eukaryota; Viridiplantae; Streptophyta; Magnoliopsida; Solanales; Solanaceae.
UACAACCUAAAACUCUCUCUAAAGGUUCUCACGUAGUUCAAGAGCUAAUCCUUAGGUGCUCAAAGUGAAUCAAACGCUUGAAACCUUGUGGUGGCUAUUUUCAGAGAUUUCUUCAUGGUGAAGUUGAGGUGCUACUCGGGAAAAGUUUGUUUUCGAGUUGGUACAGACGACGAGAGGCAUGUAAUUGCUAUCCAUUUUCUUUUAUUGGCAUGAAUCUGUAGUAAGUACGAGUUGGAUGAAUCUUAUACGAGAAACACAUAUUAUAGAGCUCA